GGUGAAAACUCUGCUCUAUUUGACAACACUCACAUGACCACUCGGGCUAAUGCAAUUGACCGGUCUAAUCAGCAUAGCCGUAUGGAUGAUGGAAGUCGUAUGGAUGAUGGAGAUGGCUUUGCCCAGCAUGAUGACAACACCCUCAUGGCUGAUGUAGUUGAUUGCAUUACCCAACAUGGUGACCACAAUCACAGUACCAGUGAAGGGCGAGAGGAGAGAAGGGUCAGGGGAAAUAAUAUGGGACUUGGUCUCCAAAAGUUAAACCGAG
This is a long non-coding RNA of Sorghum bicolor (sorghum), 268 nucleotides long. RefSeq lists it as uncharacterized. NCBI's taxonomy places the organism in Eukaryota, Viridiplantae, Streptophyta, Magnoliopsida, Poales, Poaceae. The record is from RefSeq and is a predicted model, not a curated record. The transcript is spliced from 3 exons.